Molecule: transfer RNA, 72 nt
Filed under: Promethearchaeota archaeon CR_4
Lineage: Archaea; Promethearchaeati; Promethearchaeota
Description: Candidatus Lokiarchaeota archaeon CR_4 tRNA-His
Rfam family: tRNA
About the family: Transfer RNA (tRNA) molecules are approximately 80 nucleotides in length. Their secondary structure includes four short double-helical elements and three loops (D, anti-codon, and T loops).
Source: RNAcentral
GCCCCCAUUGUCUAGUGGUUAGGAUAGAGGGCUGUGGUCCCUUUGAUGCGGGUUCGAUUCCCGCUGGGGGCC